UAGGGAAUCUUCGGCAAUGGACGAAAGUCUGACCGAGCAACGCCGCGUGAGUGAAGAAGGUUUUCGGAUCGUAAAACUCUGUUGUUAGAGAAGAACAAGGACGUCAGUAACUGAACGUCCCCUGACGGUAUCUAACCAGAAAGCCACGGCUAACUACGUGCCAGCAGCCGCGGUAAUACGCAGGUGGCAAGCGUUGUCCGGAUUUAUUGGGCGUAAAGCGAGCGCAGGCGGUUUCUUAAGUCUGCUGUGAAAGCCCCCGGCUCAACCGGGGAGGGUCAUUGGAAACUGGGAGACUUGGGUGCAGAAGAGGAGAGUGGAAUUCCGUGUGUAGCGGUGAAAUGCGUUGAUAUAUGGAGGAACACCAGUGGCGGAGGCGACUCUCUGGUCUAUAACUGACGCUGUGGCACGAAAGCGUGGGGAGCUAACAGG
RNAcentral lists this ribosomal RNA (429 nucleotides) under Gemmatimonadota bacterium. RNAcentral describes it as "Gemmatimonadetes bacterium partial 16S ribosomal RNA". It matches the Rfam family "Bacterial small subunit ribosomal RNA", at positions 355 to 776 of the family's 1533-position model. Lineage: Bacteria; Pseudomonadati; Gemmatimonadota. The record is from RNAcentral.